RNAcentral lists this long non-coding RNA (527 nucleotides) under Lotus japonicus. RNAcentral describes it as "long non-coding RNA (LJAP_LNC000226)". The record is from RNAcentral. Lineage: Eukaryota; Viridiplantae; Streptophyta; Magnoliopsida; Fabales; Fabaceae.
UUGACACUGAAGCUCUGCUAGGGUUACAGAAUCUCCAGCGCCGUUUCUCCCCUUGGGGGCUCCUCCCCCUUGGGGGUGAAACGGGGAGGGCUCUAGUUGUGCUGAUUUGUUAGUAGCCUCACCGCGCCACCGAGCCACCGCCGUCGCCGUACCUCAGCCGCGAUCUGGUCUGCUCCGGCCACUAUCCCCUCUACCCUUGGUGCCAGUGCCACCGGCUUGACUCAUCUUGGUGCCGUUGAAGCCGUUUGUGUUCUUCCUUGAAGGCUAAAGUGUUUGCAUCUCCGGCAGAGUCGGAUGGAUUGCAAGUUGAAGCAGUUGUUUUAAAAAGGAAUGAUUUACUACUGCUUGGAAAGCCAAACUUUUCACUGGUUUCUGAGAUUUAGGGUGCUUGUAAGGUUUUUCUUUGUUAGUUGAUUACUUGUAUCAGCAUGAGUGAGCAUGCUUAUUAGUCUUCAAUUGCUUAUCUGUUUAUGCAUUGCAGAAUCACUGCUUGGGAUUUUAGUCCCACUGAUGUAAGUUUCACUGCU